CAACACUGCAGGACUCAGAUGUGCCAGUCAACACAGCAGAAAGCACAAGCACCAUGACUCUCAUCACCAUCCUCAUGUGGACGCUGGCCUGCUGCUGUUUCACAGGAUGCAGCGCUCAGGUGACUGUGACUCAGCCUCCAGUGGUGACAUUUACUCCAGGAUCCACUGUCACUCUCACCUGUAAGACCAGCCAAGCUGUUGGAACUUGUAGUGGUGCUGAUUGUAUGUACUGGUACCAACAGAAAUCUGGACAGCCUCCAAAGCUCCUAAUAAAAUUUGUGAGCACACGUGUAUCAGGAACACCAGCUCGGUUUAGUGGCAGUGGAAGCAGCUCUGACUUCACUUUGACCAUCAGUGGAGUUCAGACUGAAGAUGCAGCAGUUUAUUACUGUAAGAGUGUUCAUGGUGGCCCAGUGUUCACACAGUGA
This is a non-coding RNA of Epinephelus fuscoguttatus (brown-marbled grouper), 428 nucleotides long. The record is from the annotation of a RefSeq genome assembly. Lineage: Eukaryota; Metazoa; Chordata; Actinopteri; Perciformes; Serranidae.